Panthera uncia (snow leopard) is the source of this 491-nucleotide long non-coding RNA. RefSeq lists it as uncharacterized. The transcript is spliced from 3 exons. NCBI's taxonomy places the organism in Eukaryota, Metazoa, Chordata, Mammalia, Carnivora, Felidae. The record is from RefSeq and is a predicted model, not a curated record.
GAAGCAGCAACAUGCAGCAGAGACACUCAACCAGCCCCAUGGGGAAGGCCACGCAAGGAGGGUCUGAGCACCAGCCUGGCAGCUGUGUGAGGGCACCGCCUGGGGAGUGAGCCACCCAGCCCCAGUCCAACCUUCAGAUGAGCCUGAGGCCUGACCAGCACCUGGCUGAUACUCCAUGAGAGAUCUUAAGUGAGAAAUGCCCCAUCAGGUCCUUCCCAAAUAUCUGACUGAGACAGACAGUGAGAGAAGAGAAGUCCAGGCUCGGGGUAGUGAGCUCCUCGUCCAGCAAGAACAAAGCAGGUCUGCGGGAGCCCAAGGAACGUGGCCUUCACCCGGUGCUGCGCUGGUGGUGACCUUGGAAGUCCCAGCCGCGGAUCCACGUUGGGGACAGGGCAGCGCCCGCAGGCUGAGGGAUACCAUAGCCCUGGCACCAGGCCUCGGCCCCGCCUUCCCAUCCAUGGCCCUCCCUCUGCACAGGGCUGACUCCAGCC